Long non-coding RNA from Hibiscus syriacus, 291 nucleotides. RefSeq lists it as uncharacterized. The record is from RefSeq and is a predicted model, not a curated record. Lineage: Eukaryota; Viridiplantae; Streptophyta; Magnoliopsida; Malvales; Malvaceae. The transcript is spliced from 3 exons.
AUUCCUCAAGUUGGAGAGGAUUCAAGUACCAUCAAAAUGCUAAACCAAGUGAUGAGGAGAAUGCUGAAACGGAAGAUCCAUCCAGAGCUUGAAGACAAGGGUAAUAAAUUAAACAAGCAAAGUAGCAAGAAGGAACAUGAAGCCAGUGAAUCAGUUGACCUGCUUCAACAAUCUCCAGGUGCUGCUACAGCUUGAGCAUCGAGUUGGAGAUGACUUAAGCUGCUAGAAAUUAAUGUUCUCUCGCGUUGUGCUUAAAUUAAUCAUAUGUUUAUGGACAAGGACAGUAUUUAU